This 200-nucleotide ribosomal RNA is filed under the name uncultured bacterium. RNAcentral describes it as "partial 16S ribosomal RNA". It matches the Rfam family "Bacterial small subunit ribosomal RNA", at positions 524 to 724 of the family's 1533-position model. The record is from RNAcentral.
UACAGAGGGUGCGAGCGUUAAUCGGAAUUACUGGGCGUAAAGGGUGCGUAGGUGGUGAUGUAAGUUGGGUGUGAAAGCCCCGGGCUCAACCUGGGAACUGCAUUCAAACUGUGUCACUAGAGUAGAGUAGAGGGAAGUGGAAUUUCCGGUGUAGCGGUGAAAUGCGUAGAUAUCGGAAGGAACACCAGUGGCGAAGGCGG